AAAAACAUAAUAUCGGGGCCCUUUUUAUAGCCCGAAAAUACCACUUAUUUUUCUAUUUUUCUCUAAUCGUUAUUAGAUUCUUCUAGCUUGUUCGUUUUGUAGGUACAAGGCCGUUAGCCAGCUGGCGUACGAAACGGCGCGCACGGGGGAGGCGACAGCAGUUAGGGCGACGGCGGCUACGGUUUUCCCUCCUUUUUUGCUGCUGAAAAUGUUUAGUUUUGGGGCUAUUGGGCCACUAGGGUUUUUGUUGCAUUUGGACUGAUUUGGAUUUUAGGUUUGG
This 280-nucleotide long non-coding RNA is filed under the name Gossypium barbadense (sea-island cotton). RNAcentral's name for it is "long non-coding RNA (GBAR_LNC021546)". Lineage: Eukaryota; Viridiplantae; Streptophyta; Magnoliopsida; Malvales; Malvaceae. The record is from RNAcentral.